GUGCGCCAUCCGUACACGCCGGUUCCUGUGCGUCGUCCACACACACAUCUGACGACUGCUCACAACGUUGGGUGAGCC
RNAcentral lists this small RNA (78 nucleotides) under Xanthomonas floridensis. Its description in RNAcentral is "sX9 sRNA". It matches the Rfam family "Xanthomonas sRNA sX9". The record is from RNAcentral. Lineage: Bacteria; Pseudomonadati; Pseudomonadota; Gammaproteobacteria; Lysobacterales; Lysobacteraceae.